AACUCCCUCGCUCGCUCCUGCAGCCGCCUCCCUCUCACUCGCUCGCUCCUCAUCCGGCGAGACAAGCCUUCUCCUCUCCCGCAACUCCAGCCCCGCCGCCGCCGACGACGACCUCUCCUCUCCCGCAACUCCAGUACGCCGCCGCGCCCCUUCCCCUCUCCCACCGCCGUCGAGACGCGCACCCACCGCGGCCAUUGCCCUCUCCCACCGCCGCUCCUCCUUCCGCCCCAACACAUAGCUAGCGGAUUCGAUCCGUCUCCCUCCCCGUCCGACCUCCACCGAGCCGCUCCCACGGCGACCGAGCUGCCGUCCCUCUCUCCCUCCGCACGCACGGAACCCUAGCCCGCGGCCAUGGCAGGAGCUGCAGCACGGGCCUCUCCUCCAACACCUCGACAAUGGAGGAGCCAUGACCCCACCACCGUCGCCCCCGUCAUGCCGCCGCUCCUCCUGCUCCUCCUCGCCGCCCUCGCGCUCGCCCUCGCCCCGGCCCUCCCCCACGCCGCCGCCGGAGGGGGCGCCAGGUUCUACGACCCGGCGCGGGUCACCCAGAUCUCAUGGCGCCCCAGGGCGUUCCUGUACAGCGGCUUCCUCUCGCACGCCGAGUGCGACCACCUCAUCAAGCUGGCCAAGGGGAGGCUGGAGAAGUCGAUGGUGGCCGACAAUGAGUCCGGGAAGAGUGUCAUGAGCCAGGUGCGCACAAGCUCCGGCACCUUCUUGUCCAAGCGCGAGGAUGAAAUUAUCUCUGGAAUUGGAAAGUGUGUAGCUGCUUGGACGUUUCUCCCUGAAGAAAAUGCCGAGUCGAUGCAGGUUCUGCAUUAUGAAGUUGGUCAGAAGUAUGAUGCCCACUUCAAUUAUUUUAGUGACAAAAAGAACGUGAAGCGUGGUGGUCAUCGAGUUGCCACUGUUCUUAUGUACCUGACAGAUGUGAAGAAGGGUGGAGAGACUGUGUUCCCAGUUGCUGAGGGAAGAGAUUUACAACAUAAGGAUGAAACGUGGUCGGAGUGCGCGAGACAUGGCCUGGCAGUGACCUGCUUGCUGAAUAGUAACAUGGAGACCACCCUGACUGGCCACGAUUCGUCUCGUCUUCCUCCCCGGCAAGCAAAGGCAUAGCAGCAUCUCCAACCCCUUCCUGACAAGCUGCAGGUCUUAAACGAGGUCCCAGCCGAGGAGAUUAUAGCUAAGGAAAAAAAGAUCUGGAAGAUAGAGCAGUUUGACUACAACCAUGACGCUGGUGACUGCCCCUUUCUUGGUUCUGGUGACUGGUGAGGCACUUGCCUUUCCCGUCAAAGGGAAAUUAAAAAGAGUAAAGAUGUUAUUUACAAGACAAAAAGGCCUGAAGCAAAGGACGGAGAGUAUAUCUCAACAAUAAGUAAUUAAACAUGGUAAGUAAUUCAUCACGCCCUCGGAAUUUUUUGUUGAGCAGAGAUGUCCUAGAGGUAUAUUCUUCUAUUCUAGAUCCAGAUGUAACUCUGUUUUUAAUUCUUCGGAAAGUAAACAUGUUUGGAUGCUCCCAGCCUAUCAGAUAUGAAGCACGUCUUGCCAGGUUGGAUGUAGCUGGGGGCAAUAGGUGUGCAGCAAGCUUCAAUUCCAAUUUUUAUUGGGUCAUAUGUAAUGCUUUGGUGUGUUAUACUGCACUGAAACUAUAUCACUUGUUUUAGUUGCUUUGCUUUAGUUGCUUUGCUUUUGGAGGCUCCAUCAGAAUAGAGUGCAGGCUUUUGCUUGUCCUAAUCAAACAUCAGCGUAUUGAUUACUAUCUUGAAGAUGAGUUUUUCUCAUACAAUGGAAGAUGGAUUUAUAAUCGAACUGAAUGUGCAAAUGAAAAUUUUUAUCAGGUGAGCUAACUUUGCCCAUGACUAUUGAGCUAUAACAUAAAUUUGUAGGUACCUUGCAAUAUGAAUUUUUUUCUCAUAAUUUCAAAAUUACAAAGUGCACUUAAUUGCAGAUGAUGUGCCUUAUGGAAGAUGUGAGCACUCAUAUUUUGUACUUAGAAUUUGGAAAUACGCUUUUGGUUGGUUUAGUUUAUAGUUUAGUAAUACUACUUGAGACAACCUUUUGAAAAUAUAUGUAAGAAGACCCGAGUAUAUGUAGCUCUAGCUCUGAUAAGUGUUGGUGUGUUUAGUUUUCCAAUACCAUAGCUGAUGUUUUCUUUAUAGAAUAAGAUGGAACUAAACAUAUCCAAAGUAGCAUUUAGAAUUACACAACUCUGACUAGGUUCAACAAAUUUACUUUAUAAUACUCCCUCGGUCCCAAAACAAGUGUUGCUGAUUUAGUACAAAGCUGUAGAAUCAGCAACACUUAUUUUGGGACAGAGGGAGUACCACAUAGUUGAUCUUUCUUUCUUAGGAUAGCAUUCAGACCACCAUAUUUCCUCUUUGAUAAGCAUACAAGAACAAGCUUCAACCUUUUAAUCUAAUAAAACAAGAAUAUAGAGCGACUGAUCACUAACAUGUUCACAAUCUGAAGGAUCGAAGCAAUAAUCUGCAGAAGAAACUAUAUGUUUUGAGGAGGCAGAGUCAGGCGCGAGAGCAUGAGGUCUUUGCAACCGGUGGCUUUCUUCAAACAAGCACAAGAGCACAAGGAUCAUGGCGUGUAAGGAGUCAAGCAACGAGAUGACCCAGUCAAACUAUCAAGUAUUAUAGUUUAGCAUAACUAACCAGGUUCUUUAUCUCGCAACGCAUCGCAAGCUCACUUGAGCUAUGUCAUGACCCAACUAUUGUAUCUGUUUAAUUGUGAUCCAUUGUCUUGGCUUACUUUUGGACUAUAUAAUGACUCAUCGUGUUGGUUUACUUUUGCCAAAAA
Molecule: RNA transcript, 2799 nt
Organism: Triticum dicoccoides
Lineage: Eukaryota; Viridiplantae; Streptophyta; Magnoliopsida; Poales; Poaceae
Gene name: probable prolyl 4-hydroxylase 7
Exons: 9
Source: RefSeq, a predicted model, not a curated record